Molecule: long non-coding RNA, 355 nt
Filed under: Androctonus crassicauda
Lineage: Eukaryota; Metazoa; Arthropoda; Arachnida; Scorpiones; Buthidae
Source: RNAcentral
GUGGUUUCUGAAAACCAUAUGAUCGUGGCAUCUAACAGCGUUUUCUUUCGCUUUUGGGCACCCCCAAACGUUCAAGAUCAAUAUAAGGAAUGUCGAACUUUAUACAGAGAUCUUUUUCAAUGUGCCCCCUUAUAAAAAAUAACGUCUUUAAUGGACUUCAGGACCUGCAUUUCAAAUGGAAGCUGACGAUAUUCGUACCAAAUGGUUGUCGGGGUCUCGGGCUGGGCUGCAUACUCAAUUCUCAGACUAUGCAGUCUCCGCUGGAAAUUGAUUGUUUUCUUCUCGGCCGGUGAAAGCCGAUAGUAUUUAUGGUCUGGAUUAGUUGUAAAAAAUAAUACGCAACAAAGUCAUCUCC